CAAUAGCAUAUAUUAAAAUUGUUGCGGUUAAAAGCUCGUAGUUGGAUUUCUGCCGAGGACGACCGGUCCGCCCUCUGGGUCAGCAUCUGGCUCGGCUUGGGCAUCUUCUUGGAGAACGUAGCUGCACUUGACUGUGUGGUGCGGUAUCCAGGACUUUUACUUUGAGGAAAUUAGAGUGUUUCAAGCAGGCACACGCCUUGAAUACGUUAGCAUGGAAUAAUAAGAUAGGACCCCAGUUCUAUUUUGUUGGUUUCUAGAGCUGAGGUAAUGAUUAAUAGGGAUAGUUGGGGGCAUUCGGUAUUUAACUGUCAGAGGUGAAAUUCUUGGAUUUGUUAAAUGACUGGACUACUGCGAAAGUAUUUGCCAAGGAUGUUUUCUUGGAUCAAGAACGAAAUGUUAGGGGAUCGAAGAC
This 412-nucleotide ribosomal RNA is filed under the name uncultured eukaryote. Its description in RNAcentral is "SSU rRNA". It matches the Rfam family "Eukaryotic small subunit ribosomal RNA", at positions 592 to 1005 of the family's 1831-position model. The record is from RNAcentral.